Molecule: ribosomal RNA, 459 nt
Filed under: uncultured bacterium
Lineage: Bacteria
Description: partial 16S ribosomal RNA
Rfam family: Bacterial small subunit ribosomal RNA
Source: RNAcentral
CCUACGGGUGGCAGCAGUGAGGAAUAUUGGUCAAUGGGCGCGAGUCUGAACCAGCCAAGUCGCGUGAGGGAAGACGGUCCUAUGGAUUGUAAACCUCUUUUGUCGGGGAGCAAAAGACGCCACGCGUGGCUUUCCGAGAGUACCCGAAGAAAAAGCAUCGGCUAACUCCGUGCCAGCAGCCGCGGUAAUACGGAGGAUGCGAGCGUUAUCCGGAUUUAUUGGGUGAAAAGGGUGCGCAGGCGGAAGAUCACAUCAGCGGUAAAAUUGAGGGGCUCAACCUCUUCGAGCCGUUGAAACUGGUUUUCUUGAGUUAGCGAGAAGUAUGCGGAAUGCGUGGUGUAGCGGUGAAAUGCAUAGAUAUCACGCAGAACUCCGAUUGCGAAGGCAGCAUACCGGCGCUCAACUGACGCUCAUGCACGAAAGUGUGGGUAUCGAACAGGAUUAGAUACCCCUGUAGUC